GCAGCGGGGGUAGCGAUACCCGCCGGCGACCGGCGCACGGGUGAGUAACGCGUAUGCAACUUACCUAUCGGAGGGGGAUAACCCGGCGAAAGUCGGACUAAUACCGCAUAAAGCAGGGGCCCCGCAUGGGGAUAUUUGCUAAAGAUUCAUCGCUGAUAGAUAGGCAUGCGUUCCAUUAGGCAGUUGGCGGGGUAACGGCCCACCAAACCGACGAUGGAUAGGGGUUCUGAGAGGAAGGUCCCCCACAUUGGUACUGAGACACGGACCAAACUCCUACGGGAGGCAGCAGUGAGGAAUAUUGGUCAAUGGGCGUAAGCCUGAACCAGCCAAGUCGCGUGAGGGAUGAAGGUUCUAUGGAUCGUAAACCUCUUUUAUAAGGGAAUAAAGUGCGGGACGUGUCCCGUUUUGUAUGUACCUUAUGAAUAAGGAUCGGCUAACUCCGUGCCAGCAGCCGCGGUAAUACGGAGGAUCCGAGCGUUAUCCGGAUUUAUUGGGUUUAAAGGGUGCGUAGGCGGCCUUUUAAGUCAGCGGUGAAAGUCUGUGGCUCAACCAUAGAAUUGCCGUUGAAACUGGGGGGCUUGA
Molecule: ribosomal RNA, 582 nt
Filed under: uncultured bacterium
Lineage: Bacteria
Description: bacterial SSU rRNA
Rfam family: Bacterial small subunit ribosomal RNA
Source: RNAcentral